AUUGAACGCUGGCGGAAUGCUUUACACAUGCAAGUCGAGCGGCAGCGCGGGGCAACCUGGCGGCGAGCGGCGAACGGGUGAGUAAUGCAUCGGAACAUGUCCAUGUCGUGGGGGAUAGCCCGGCGAAAGCCGGAUUAAUACCGCAUACGCCCGAGAGGGGAAAGCAGGGGACCGCAAAGGCCUUGCGCGAUUGGGUUGGCCGAUGUCCGAUUAGCUUGUUGGUGAGGUAAAGGCUUACCAAGGCGAUGAUCGGUAGCUGGUCUGAGAGGAUGAUCAGCCACACUGGGACUGAGACACGGCCCAGACUCCUACGGGAGGCAGCAGUGGGGAAUUUUGGACAAUGGGGGCAACCCUGAUCCAGCCAUUCCGCGUGAGUGAAGAAGGCCU
This 387-nucleotide ribosomal RNA is filed under the name uncultured bacterium. RNAcentral describes it as "bacterial SSU rRNA". It matches the Rfam family "Bacterial small subunit ribosomal RNA", at positions 29 to 417 of the family's 1533-position model. The record is from RNAcentral.